RNAcentral lists this unclassified non-coding RNA (223 nucleotides) under plant metagenome. RNAcentral describes it as "partial contains small subunit ribosomal RNA, internal transcribed spacer 1, and 5.8S ribosomal RNA". The record is from RNAcentral.
UCUCCGUUGGUGAACCAGCGGAGGGAUCAUUACCGAGUUAUCAACUCCCAAACCCCUGUGAACAUACCCAACGUUGCUUCGGCGGGACCGCCCCGGCGCCCUCGGCGUCCCGGAACCAGGCGCCCGCCGGAGGACCCAAACUCUUGUUUAAACCAUAGUGGCAUAUUCUGAGUUUCACAAGAAAAAUGAAUCAAAACUUUCAACAACGGAUCUCUUGGCUCUG